Molecule: non-coding RNA, 86 nt
Organism: Coniella lustricola
Lineage: Eukaryota; Fungi; Ascomycota; Sordariomycetes; Diaporthales; Schizoparmaceae
Source: the annotation of a GenBank genome assembly
GGUCGGGUGGCGCAAAGGUAGCGCGUAUCACUCCUAGUUUCGCCGAGGUGAUGAUGAGGCUGUGGGUUCGAGUCCCAUCUCGAUCG